UAUAAUGUUUUGACUCUUCGUUUUAUUUGAUUUUUUUUGCGAUUAAUAAUUCUAUUCUUUCUAGACAAUAAACAUAAAUAGUACUUUAUGCGUGACUAAUUUUUUAAAGUUUUUUAUAAAAUUUUCAAAUAAGACAAGUGGCCAAAUGUUGGACUCGGAAAAAC
This 164-nucleotide microRNA precursor is filed under the name Oryza brachyantha (malo sina). RNAcentral's name for it is "MIR812 microRNA precursor family". It matches the Rfam family "MIR812 microRNA precursor family", at positions 27 to 190 of the family's 205-position model. The record is from Rfam by way of RNAcentral. Lineage: Eukaryota; Viridiplantae; Streptophyta; Magnoliopsida; Poales; Poaceae.